GAUGAACGCUGGCGGCGUGCCUAAUACAUGCAAGUCGAGCGAACAGACGAGGAGCUUGCUCCUCUGACGUUAGCGGCGGACGGGUGAGUAACACGUGGAUAACCUACCUAUAAGACUGGGAUAACUUCGGGAAACCGGAGCUAAUACCGGAUAAUAUAUUGAACCGCAUGGUUCAAUAGUGAAAGACGGUUUUGCUGUCACUUAUAGAUGGAUCCGCGCCGCAUUAGCUAGUUGGUAAGGUAACGGCUUACCAAGGCGACGAUGCGUAGCCGACCUGAGAGGGUGAUCGGCCACACUGGAACUGAGACACGGUCCAGACUCCUACGGGAGGCAGCAGUAGGGAAUCUUCCGCAAUGGGCGAAAGCCUGACGGAGCAACGCCGCGUGAGUGAUGAAGGUCUUCGGAUCGUAAAACUCUGUUAUUAGGGAAGAACAAAUGUGUAAGUAACUAUGCACGUCUUGACGGUACCUAAUCAGAAAGCCACGGCUAACU
Molecule: ribosomal RNA, 492 nt
Filed under: uncultured bacterium
Lineage: Bacteria
Description: partial 16S ribosomal RNA
Rfam family: Bacterial small subunit ribosomal RNA
Source: RNAcentral